UGGGGAAUCUUGCGCAAUGGGCGAAAGCCUGACGCAGCGACGCCGCGUGAGGGAAGAAGGCCUUCGGGUUGUAAACCUCUUUCAGGAGGGACGAAGCCACUCGGGCUAAUACCCCAGAGGGUGACGGUACCUCCAGAAGAAGCCCCGGCUAACUACGUGCCAGCAGCCGCGGUAAUACGUAGGGGGCAAGCGUUGUCCGGAUUCAUUGGGCGUAAAGCGCGUGUAGGCGGCCAGAUAAGUCCGCUGUGAAAACUCGAGGCUCAACCUCGAGAUGUCGGCGGAAACUAUCUGGCUAGAGUCCGGAAGAGGAGAGUGGAAUUCCUGGUGUAGCGGUGAAAUGCGCAGAUAUCAGGAGGAACACCCGUGGCGAAAGCGGCUCUCUGGGACGGUACUGACGCUGAGACGCGAAAGCGUGGGGAGCAAACAG
RNAcentral lists this ribosomal RNA (427 nucleotides) under uncultured bacterium. RNAcentral describes it as "bacterial SSU rRNA". It matches the Rfam family "Bacterial small subunit ribosomal RNA", at positions 355 to 775 of the family's 1533-position model. The record is from RNAcentral.